Molecule: ribosomal RNA, 541 nt
Filed under: Diretmus argenteus (silver spinyfin)
Lineage: Eukaryota; Metazoa; Chordata; Actinopteri; Trachichthyiformes; Diretmidae
Description: partial 16S ribosomal RNA
Rfam family: Bacterial large subunit ribosomal RNA
Source: RNAcentral
UAAGAGGUCCCGCCUGCCCUGUGACUAAUUGUUUAACGGCCGCGGUAUUUUGACCGUGCAAAGGUAGCGUAAUCACUUGUCUUUUAAAUGAAGACCCGUAUGAACGGCACGACGAAGGCCCAGCUGUCUCCUUUUUCAGGUCAAUGAAAUUGAUCUUCCCGUGCAGAAGCGGGAAUGUUAACAUAAGACGAGAAGACCCUAUGGAGCUUCAGACCCAAGGCAGCCCACGUCAAGCACCCCCCGACAAAGGGUUAAACCAAGUGAAGCUCUGCCCCAGUGUCUUUGGUUGGGGCGACCGCGGGGAAAAACUAAACCCCCAUGUAGAUAAGGAAUAGCCCUCCUACAACCAAGAGUCACCACUCUAAGCAACAGAAAUUCUGACCAAAAUGAUCCGGCAAUGCCGAUCCACGGACCGAGUUACCCUAGGGAUAACAGCGCAAUCCUCUUCCAGAGCCCAUAUCUACAAGAGGGUUUACGACCUCGAUGUUGGAUCAGGACAUCCUAACGGUGCAGCCGCUGUUAAGGGUUCGUUUGUUCAACG